GAGUUUGAUCCUGGCUCAGAACGAACGCUGGCGGCAGGCCUAACACAUGCAAGUCGAACGUGAAGCCGCCCUUCGGGGCGGUGGAAAGUGGCGCACGGGUGAGUAACGCGUGGGAACCAACCCUGAGGUACGGAAUAACAGCUGGAAACGGCUGCUAAUACCGUAUGUNCCCUACGGGGGAAAGAUUUAUCGCCUUGGGACGGGCCCGCGUCGGAUUAGCUUGUUGGUGGGGUAACGGCCCACCAAGGCUCCGAUCCGUAGCUGGUCUGAGAGGAUGAUCAGCCACACUGGAACUGAGACACGGUCCAGACUCCUACGGGAGGCAGCAGUGGGGAAUAUUGCGCAAUGGGGGAAACCCUGACGCAGCCAUGCCGCGUGAGUGAAGAAGGUCUUCGGAUUGUAAAGCUCUUUCAACGGGGAAGAUGAUGACGGUACCCGUAGAAGAAGCCCCGGCUAACUUCGUGCCAGCAGCCGCGGUAAUAUGAAGGGGGCAAGCGUUGUUCGGAAUUACUGGGCGUAAAGGGCGUGUAGGCGGUGCGAUCAGUCAGAGGUGAAAGCCCCGGGCUCAACCUGGGAAUUGCCUUUAAUACUGUCGCACUAGAGUUCGGGAGAGGGUAGUGGAAUUCCCAGUGUAGAGGUGAAAUUCGUAGAUAUUAGGAAGAACACCGGUGGCGAAGGCGGCUACCUGGACCGAUACUGACGCUGAGGCGCGAAGGUNGGGGAGCAAACAGGAUUAGAUACCCUGGUAGUCCACGCCGUAAACNAUGUCUGCUAGUCGUUNGGGGG
RNAcentral lists this ribosomal RNA (786 nucleotides) under uncultured bacterium. Its description in RNAcentral is "bacterial SSU rRNA". It matches the Rfam family "Bacterial small subunit ribosomal RNA", at positions 9 to 830 of the family's 1533-position model. The record is from RNAcentral.